CAUGCCGGGGGCACGGUUUCAUAUGCAUACUUUAUGAAAAUGAUAUUUGAAGCAUGAUCAUGAGGCUCAUUUCAGAGCCUGGGUAUAUGAGGCGGGUAUUUCCAAAUCCUGCAGAUGCGUUUUGGGGAGAAACAAAAUCGGUGAGGGGUGAAGGACGCUUGCGUGAAGCCCCGGAACCGGCCAACAUCUGGCAGGGGAGCCCCGUGUUUCCCCCUCAUGUGGGCCCGAUAGUCACGUGCCCUGCGCAGGCGGGCCGUGACAUUUAUGAACGUGUCUGGCCAAAGCAUACAUUGUUUUACAACGGGUUUUUGAAUAUAUCCUUAUGAAAUGUUGUAUUUUGCUAUAACCGCUAUCUCCUUUAAAUUGCAUACAUAAUAUGCCAUGAUGAUGAUCAGAUAAAUAUGCAUGUCAGCUUCUCAAACCCUGUAUAAACAUGGUUACCGUUAUGUUCGAUCUGGUAAGAUUAUGUAUGAUUACUUACUGAGCC
Molecule: long non-coding RNA, 487 nt
Filed under: Phoenix dactylifera (date palm)
Lineage: Eukaryota; Viridiplantae; Streptophyta; Magnoliopsida; Arecales; Arecaceae
Description: long non-coding RNA (PDAC_LNC022468)
Source: RNAcentral